AGUGAACGCUGGCGGUAGGCCUAACACAUGCAAGUCGAACGGAAGCACAGUAAGAGCUUGCUCUUACGGGUGGCGAGUGGCGGACGGGUGAGACAUACAUCGCAAUCUACUUUUUCGUGGGGGAUAACGUAGGGCAACUUACGCUAAUACCGCAUACGACGUACGGCAGAAAGCAGGGGUUCUUCGGACCUUGCGCAUCUGAAUGAGACGAUGUCGUAUUAGCUAGUUGGCGGGGUAAGGGCACACCAAGGCGACGAUCCGUAGCCGACCUGAGAGGAUGAUCGGCCACACUGUAACUGAGACACGGUCCAGACUCCUACGGGAGGCAGCAGUGGGGAAUAUUCGACAAUGGGCGAAAGCCUGACGGAGCAACGCCGCGUGAGUGAUGAAGGCCUUCGGAUCGUAAACCUCUGUUAUUAGGGAAGAAAAACAGUGUAAGUAACUCUGCAUGUCUUGACGGUACCUAAUCAGAAAGCCCCGGCUAACUACGUG
Molecule: ribosomal RNA, 492 nt
Filed under: uncultured bacterium
Lineage: Bacteria
Description: partial 16S ribosomal RNA
Rfam family: Bacterial small subunit ribosomal RNA
Source: RNAcentral